AACUGUCAAUUAAAGCAUAAUAAUAAUUAGAUAUAGUGGACACUAAUCAAAUGAACAACUUUGAGGCCUUCAUCUUAAUUGUAUGUAAGUCUAAUUUCUAGAUGUCUAAAAGAAGGUAUGAGUUUUACCACUGAACUAUACUCACAAACUUAGGUAUUAUUACUAUUAUUAAUUUCCUUCACAUCUUUAGAUGAAUUUUCACCUGCUAGACAGGAAUCCAGUUUUACAUUUUGGAACAAAGGUAAACACACUUCUGUAGGAAGAAAAUGUAAUUGUAAUUACCUUGGACUAGGAUGGGGAGAAUAUAGGUCUGAAUGAAGAGUGAGUGACUCAUAAAAACUAUGAAGUUGUGGGGGAUGACUAUGAAAAUGUUCUAAAAUCAUACUACGGGGAAGACAACACAUCUCUUAAUAUACCAAAAAUCCACAGAGCUGUGUAGUUUAACUAUAUAGCAUAAAAAAUUGCAGCUAAGUAAAAUUAUUAGAAGCUAUGCCUAUAAUCCCAACACUCAGUAGGUAGAGGCAGAACAAUCAGGAGUUCAUGAUCAUCCUUGGCAACAUAGAGUUUGAGGCCAGUCUUGGCUAUAUGAGAGUGUCUCAAAAAACCCAAAGAAAACAGUGGCUUGUUAUCUUCACUACUGAGACUACCUAAUUUACUGAGUCCCAACUAAGUGUAACAACUUGAAUAAUGGCUAAAAUUCUAAGCCUAUUUGGCCAGUCUGAAGCCUAUUCUUCUCCAUGAAGCUAAUGAAUACGCUUGCUUUCUUGGAACUUAUGUUGAAAGACACGACUUUCUCUCUUCUGUUUCUCCAUCUCCCUCUCCUCCUGACAGCUGCUGAGAUUUACAACUUCUCUGCCCUGUCACUAUGUCUUUUUUUAACUCAUAAAAUGGCCCUUACACUUAAACAAAUAAAAAAAUGUUACAAAAAUGUUAGCUGAAAGGCUAAGGGUACAGAACAGGGGCAGAACACUUGAUUAGCCUGUGUGAAGCUCUGAAUUCCAUUCUCUUCUCUGUGAGAAUCCCGAGUGAAAAAGUGAAUGAAAAGUCAACGUGAUAUUGGAAACCUAGUAUGCCCCAAACCAGGAGACUGAAGCAGAAGGAUCUUGAGUUUAAGGACAGUCUAGUUAUAUAGGAGUUAAUACAAAAGCCAUCUUUGAUUCCUGUAACAUUUGUUGUGCCACGUUGCAAAGGUGUAUUCCAUAAAGUGCCUAAUGGAUGACUGGUUUAUCUUUUGUCUUACACUUUCUGUGUCAGUGAACAGUACAGCAAAAAGAAACUUUUUUUUGGAGACAGCAUCUCAUGUAGCCUCAACUGUCUUCAAUUUCAUUAUAUAUUUCAAAGUGACCUUGAACUUUGGAAACUCUUGCUUCCAUUUUCUGAGUGUUGGGAUUGCAGGCAUUGGUCAGUAAGCCUGGUGUUACUUCCUUCUGGGGAAUGAAUCAAGAGAUUCAUAUAUGUUAGAUAAGCAGUCUAACAAAUGGACUGUAUCUUCAAUCCAAUGAGGAAUUUCUUGAUGGGUAGCUAAAAUAUUAUUAGGGAAUAGGUUCAUCAUAUAUAGUCACACUUUACUAUAAUACAACAAAUGUCCAAAGGCUGUAUAGUUGUCUUGAUAUUAUUACUUGAGUUAUUAACUAUAUAAACAAGGUACUUUCUGUAACAACUAUAAAAAUAUAAAUAUUGUUCCUAUUAGGCUUUCUAAGUGGACCAAACACUGUUUUUGUCUGGGGGGGAAUGAGAGUUCAAUGAAUAAUUAGAUUUACAAUUGUUUCCUUUCUCCUUCCUUUCUUCAUACAUCUCUUCCUCCUUUGUUGCCUUCCUCCCUUCCUUUUGCAGUGUUAAGCAUAAGACUCAGGUCUAUGUAAUUCCAGACAAGUGCUCUACUGAUUUGUUCAAUGUUAAGGUCCUCAUAAAAUUGUUGUUGUGUUUUCUCUGGCCUUUUCUUUUUUCUUAAGUUUUUCCUCUAACACCAAGUACCUGGGUUAGCCUAAUGCAAUCAGAGGACAAGGUCAAAAGUGGAAGUCAGGUUGAUUGACAGUGAGGAUAUGGUGAUUUGGGUGGAGAUGUGUGUUGAAGUUGGAACUGGCGUUUACAAGUGGGGGAGUGGGGCAGUUCAGGUUUUGUUUUUUUGUUGUUGUUUUUCUUUUCUUUUCUUUUCUUUUUCAGGUUUUGUUUUUGAAGAAUGGACUCUGACUGACAAGCAGUAAGAAGCUAGAUUCUGCCAACCACUAGCAUUCUUGGAAAACAGCAGUACCAAGAAUGUCCGUUUUGGAGGCUAAGAGCAUCAGAAGUCAGCUGUGUCUCCUGGUUUCUUAUUACCUCCUAAGCUUGCCUGGAAGCUCUGCAGAAGGAAGUACCUGAGACGGAGAGGAGGUGCCUAGACACCAACUAUUGGAUAACCUACUGGACUGACCAACAUAUUUCCUUGUUCAUACCUCACACCAGUUUCUGUCCUAAGUUCUGAAAAAUAUACCCAGAGUAGUACCUUGACAGUUCCCUGCUCUUUCUGUACAAGAACUGUGCCUUCUUUCUUUUAAGCUGGCUCUAAUAAAAUGCUUCUUCCUAAACUA
This is a long non-coding RNA of Mesocricetus auratus (golden hamster), 2567 nucleotides long. RefSeq lists it as uncharacterized. The transcript is spliced from 2 exons. The record is from RefSeq and is a predicted model, not a curated record. Lineage: Eukaryota; Metazoa; Chordata; Mammalia; Rodentia; Cricetidae.